ACGGGGUGCAGCAGGCGCGAAAACUUUACAAUGCGGGAAACCGCGAUAAGGGGAUACCGAGUGCCAGCAUAUUAUGUUGGCUGUCCACAUGUGUAAACGGCAUGUGUCAGCAAGGGCCGGGCAAGACCGGUGCCAGCCGCCGCGGUAACACCGGCGGCCCGAGUGGUAAUCACUUUUAUUGGGUCUAAAGGGUCCGUAGCCGGUUUGAUCAGUUCUUCGGGAAAUCUGACAGCUCAACUGUUAGGCUUCCGGGGAAUACUGUCAGACUUGGGACCGGGAGAGGUAAGAGGUACUACAGGGGUAGGAGUGAAAUCUUGUAAUUCCUGUGGGACCACCAGUGGCGAAGGCGUCUUACCAGAACGGGUCCGACGGUGAGGGACGAAAGCUGGGGGCACGAACCGGAUUAGAUACCCGGGUAGUCCCAGCCGUAAACGAUGUUCGCUAGGUGUCAGGGACGGUCGACCGUUUCUGGUGCCGUAGGGAAGCCGUGAAGCGAACCACCUGGGAAGUACGGCCGCAAGGCUGAAAAUUUAAGGAAUUGGCGGGGGAGCAC
This 553-nucleotide ribosomal RNA is filed under the name uncultured archaeon. RNAcentral describes it as "bacterial SSU rRNA". It matches the Rfam family "Archaeal small subunit ribosomal RNA", at positions 325 to 879 of the family's 1478-position model. The record is from RNAcentral.